Molecule: ribosomal RNA, 254 nt
Filed under: uncultured bacterium
Lineage: Bacteria
Description: partial 16S ribosomal RNA
Rfam family: Bacterial small subunit ribosomal RNA
Source: RNAcentral
UACGGAGGGGGCUAGCGUUGUUCGGAAUUACUGGGCGUAAAGGGCGCGCAGGCGGCUGCUCAAGUCAGGCGUGAAAGGCCUGGGCUCAACCCGGGAAUUGCGCUUGAGACUGGGCUGGCUUGAAUCCGGGAGAGGGAUGUGGAAUUCCAGGUGUAGCGGUGAAAUGCGUAGAUAUCUGGAGGAACACCGGUGGCGAAGGCGACAUCCUGGACCGGUAUUGACGCUGAGGCGCGAAAGCCAGGGGAGCAAACGGG